CUUGACACUGAACAUUGAGCCUUGAUGUGUAGGAUAGGUGGGAGGCUUUGAAGUGUGGACGCCAGUCUGCAUGGAGCCGACCUUGAAAUACCACCCUUUAAUGUUUGAUGUUCUAACGUGGACCCGUAAUCCGGGUUGCGGACAGUGUCUGGUGGGUAGUUUGACUGGGGCGGUCUCCUCCUAAAGAGUAACGGAGGAGCACGAAGGUUGGCUAAUCCUGGUCGGACAUCAGGAGGUUAGUGCAAUGGCAUAAGCCA
RNAcentral lists this ribosomal RNA (257 nucleotides) under Salmonella enterica subsp. enterica serovar Infantis. RNAcentral's name for it is "partial 23S ribosomal RNA". It matches the Rfam family "Bacterial large subunit ribosomal RNA", at positions 2110 to 2366 of the family's 2925-position model. The record is from RNAcentral. RNAcentral also lists the same sequence under 12 other names. Lineage: Bacteria; Pseudomonadati; Pseudomonadota; Gammaproteobacteria; Enterobacterales; Enterobacteriaceae.